CAGCAAUUGAGAGCAUCACUCUAAAAGGACUCCAGGCGAGACUGAAGUGAACUAUUCUGUUGUGGGUGAAAACAUCCUAGCAAGUGACAGAAGAAAAGAGCAUCAGGAGGAAAUCAGUUCAGGCCUUUCUGAUUAUUGGAGAAAAAUCAGGGAAGCCAUAUAUUGUGACCUCAGCUUGUGUGUGGAAAGGGAAGAUCCAGUAACAAGAAUAGAAAUAACAGGUAAAGUGGAUGACAGGCACAUGAAGGACAAGAAGGUGAUUGAGAACAGACAGCUGGAUUUAUCAAAGGCAAAUUGUGUCUGCCCAACUCAGUUGCCUUCCUGAUGAAACAAAUACCUUGGUGGACAAGGAGAGAGCAGAUGAUGUUUCUUGACUUUGGUAGGACCUUUAGCAAGGCCUCUCACACUAUUCUUAUAGCCAAAUUGGAAAUACUGGGUAAGUGGACAGUAAGGUGGGUGAAAAGUGGCUGGACCAUCAGGAUGAAAGGUCCCACUGGCAGUUUGUGACAAGUGGUGUCUCUCAGA
Molecule: long non-coding RNA, 525 nt
Organism: Cygnus olor (mute swan)
Lineage: Eukaryota; Metazoa; Chordata; Aves; Anseriformes; Anatidae
Exons: 3
Source: RefSeq, a predicted model, not a curated record